GUGCUCACUUCAGCAGUUCAUAUAGUAAAAACUGGAAUGAUACAGAGAAGAAUAGCAUAGUCCCGGUGCAAGGAUGACACACAAGUUCACGACACAUUCCAUAUCUUU
This 108-nucleotide small nuclear RNA is filed under the name Procavia capensis (Cape rock hyrax). Lineage: Eukaryota; Metazoa; Chordata; Mammalia; Hyracoidea; Procaviidae. The record is from RNAcentral.